UACGUAGGGUGCGAGCGUUGUCCGGAAUUAUUGGGCGUAAAGGGCUCGUAGGCGGUCUGUCACGUCGAAAGUGAAAACUCAGGGCUUAACCCUGAGCCUGCUUCCGAUACGGGCAGACUAGAGGUAUGCAGGGGAGAAUGGAAUCCCUGGUGUAGCGGUGAAAUGCGCAGAUAUCAGGAGGAACACCAGUGGCGAAGGCGGUUCUCUGGGCAUUACCUGACGCUGAGGAGCGAAAGUGUGGGGAGCGAACAGG
RNAcentral lists this ribosomal RNA (253 nucleotides) under uncultured bacterium. RNAcentral's name for it is "partial 16S ribosomal RNA". It matches the Rfam family "Bacterial small subunit ribosomal RNA", at positions 524 to 776 of the family's 1533-position model. The record is from RNAcentral.